Agrilus planipennis (emerald ash borer) is the source of this 393-nucleotide long non-coding RNA. RefSeq lists it as uncharacterized. The transcript is spliced from 3 exons. The record is from RefSeq and is a predicted model, not a curated record. Lineage: Eukaryota; Metazoa; Arthropoda; Insecta; Coleoptera; Buprestidae.
GUCAGUUCCUAUUUACGAAUUAACCUGAGUUAGUAUAAUUGAACGCACCUACAAAACCUAUUAUCUAUGUAGUGUAAGUAUAAAAGGAAUUUUUAUCUGUGGAUCUUCCGGCGAUCUCAUUACUCAUUUUCUCAUUUGUAAUUUUGUUUUCGGUCUUCACGUAGAUGGAUAAGUUGUCGUUUUUGGUGUCCAUUAACGGAGACAACACCUGAAGGUUUGCUGUGAGAUGACAUUCUUGGUUUAGAUGGGGAAACUUACAGAUGCAAUGUUUAUGGCAGUCAGACUUAUUUUUAUUUCCAAAAAUGCUUCUAAUGAGCUGGCCAAAAAUUCAUAUGGUGAUUAAUUUCCAUUAAAACAUAAUAAGUGAACAUGAAAAGGGUAAAUUAAAAGGAG